AACUGAUCCCAGCUGUUAAAUACGCUGUUACAAACCUGAAACAGAAGAUACAGAAUGUUAAACAGUGCCAACAGAAAUGUGACAAAAUACAGUGCCUGAAAUCAUGGCUUUGCAUUGUAUAGCUUCUUGCUACUUGGAUUCAAAAAACAUACAUUUUAGAGGUAAAAGCUGAGAAGCUUCAAAUUAACAGAAGACUUGAUAUUUAUUUAUUAUUUUUUUAAGUAUGGUGAGAUGUUUUGAGUUGUGCAUGUGUAAGACACCUACAAAAUUCAUAAGUCAGUAGAGCAUUUGAAAGUUUUCUCAUCUGAUAUUCAUGUAAGUAUCAUACACCCAAUCAACACAUGUCUGGCACUAGAGUUUUGGGUGGAAAAAUAUUUAUGCAUUAAUAGGGGCCACUGAAAGUGUAAUACAGAUUGUUGUUUUACUGACAUUCUAGAUGCAGUACUACCGAACAACUUUUCCUUAUCAGCUUUCACUUGCUCAUGAUGUUGUGAGGUUUAACAUGCUAGGCUGAACUCUCCCAUUUUGUGAUUAAAAAAAAAAACCCACUUGAGUGAUUUCAGCAGAUAAAUCUUUUAAAACUCCAUGCCUCUGAUUCUCUUCCAGCCAAAAGUACUGCCUUAAUAUCAAACAUACUGUUUUAACAGAGCACAUGAGCUCCCUUCCCUUCAGCGGGCACUGGAGAUAAAUAAACAAAGAGAGACUGCAGAAAUAAAUGAGAUGCAGGGUAGAGGAGACAGAAGAGUGGGGUAGAGUCAAGGCUUGGAGUAAAAAAACCCACAGGCUAAGGAAAUUGUCCAUGGAAAUAUGUUUAGCUGUAGAAAGCAACAAGAACACACAUAUCAACACUCAUUCACUGCUGACAAACAAUUUUGAAACGGGAUGUUCUAUCUCUUCAUGAUUUUCAGUAACUGCAGAGAAAUGUGAUGCAGGGAGUAUCUGACAGGAUUAACUCAAGAGCAUGUCUGUGUAGUCAAGACAAACAUCUCAAUUUUUCUGCUGAAGUCUGCUAAAAUGGGUUGUAAUACUAUUGCCACACAUUUUUUCCCCCAGGCUUAUAUUUCAGAAAGACACCGCACUACAGUUUUUAAAAUACUGAUGUUAUAGAUAAGCACUCAAAAUUACUUAGUCAUACAUAAAGAUAAUGACUAUCAGCAAUGCCCAGGCACAUAAUUACUGUUCUUGCCACACAGAAUCUAAUUCCGUACUCAAGGCAUACACCUGAAGAGCACAAAAGGACUCAUCAAGAAAGCACAACUUUUUCUCAUCUUUGUUCAGUGAACAAAGUUGUUCAAAUUUAGUUCUAAUGAGAAAAACUAAAAAUUUAUGCAAGAAUUGCUGCAGUUUCUGCAGGCUGAAGGGACACAAAUCCACAUUCACAACAUCUGUGAGAGGACGAGGAAGUUUACAAAAUGAGUCAUGACUUGAGUCAGCUCUUCAAAAGUGAAGUAAGAUUUUUAAACGUCAGUUACAUAUAGUGACCAAGUACCCUAGCAAUCUCAAUAGCAUUUAUUUUGCUAAAAAAAUACACUGCCAUAAUAAAUUUCAAUUGCUUUCCAAACAAAAUCAGUAUGUUUGGUAUCACAACAGAGAAUAAUAGAACAAGAAAUUAAAUAAUUUGUAUUUUGGACUUUGGGCUUCACUUCUAGUGAACAUGCUCAGAAGUGGGAAAGGCCUAGGUCGCUGUGUCAAGAGUCUUGUAAAGGAAGCAGCCUACCCAGAAGAAUCUCUAUGUUUGUUGAUAAAUAUACUGUAAAGAUGUGGCCAACAGGAUUAUUCUGCAGAAAAAGAAAUGAAAAUUGAAUAUAAAAGGGCAAAAAAGCUGAUGUAGAGUCAUAAAUCUCAUUUAGAAGAAAACCAGUGUAACAAUUACAGUAGCUUUUAAGGUAUUUGUGGAAAUUAUGUUACUAUUCUGGCAAAAUAUUCUAUAGAAAUAGGAGCUAAUUUCACACAUUUCAUCUGAUAAUAGUUACAAUUAAAGAAUCAACAUAAGUCAAUAUACAAAGUGACAUAUUAAAAAAGGAAGAAUUUAAAUAGUACAACCUUUUAUUUUCAGAAAUAACAGCUAAUGCUUGAAACUGAGCUCCAGAAAAUGAAGCUGGUACAGAUUGAUUGUGAAAUAACAGUGCAUCAAUACUAAAACAAAAAAAACCCCUGCGUCCAACUUUCCUCCAAAAUACAUGGAAGAGAAAGCACAGAGGGACAUAAAUGGGCACAAGCAAGAUAAAAAUUCCUCUCAGUUUGGCCACUUCAUUUCAACCAUGGUACCAAACACAGAAGCCAGCUAAGGGCAACAGCAGGGGAAGCUGAAAGUAGGUCUUUUUAUCAUCCUUAUUAUCAUGCCUUAGGAGACCACAGUUAAAUGCUGAUAUCUGCUCUGAUUUAACCUUAAGGCUUUUGAAAAUGGUAAACUGUAAGUAAUUAGAUUGCCUACAUUAUACUUGUUACAUCAAUUUAUAUUUAGUAAGUAUUCUGUACCUCUUGUGAUGUGCUAACUUGCUUUAAAUCAAAAAUACUUUCUUUGCAAGAGCAACCAACAUAUUAAAUAGUUUGGAUUACUGUGGUUAUCUGCCACAAUUUUUUUUCUGAAUAGAUUUUUGCUAACUAGCACCUGUUUGAAUUGCUUGUAAUGGAGAAACACUCCCUGCUUUACGGGGGAUAAGGGCUUCCCAAAGCUUGUUUAUAAAAGGAACUUUUAAGAGACUAUUGGGAACAGACUGGACACUGCCACAUAUCAGUACUCAGAAGUCCCAUACACAGAUACAUUCUAAUUAAAUUAAGACAUUAAAAUUAAAUUAAAAGGCUUAAUUAAAUUAAAAGGCCUUAACAGUAACAAGCUGCAAAAGAAAUAGAGCUGCUACCCUCCAUUAAAUUUUUACUUAUGACUCAUGACUGGCAUAUUAAAUUAAAACAUCAGGAAGGUCAAGAUGACAUGUAUUUUACAUUCAGUUACUGUGUCAUUUUCAGUGUCUGUUCAGUCAGCUGACUUCAGUGAGAUGUAGAAGUAAUCUCCUAUACUAAAAAGAAGGAGGGAGGGCCACAAAUCACUUUGUACUCAAAAGAUUUUUUGCUACCCAGAUUUCAAAGAGGCAGAUUUCACAGUAAAAAAAGUGUACUAUAAUGAAUAGGAAUGUUUUGCCAGUUUUAGUAAAUUUGCUUAAUUAACCAAGAAAAUUCAAAUCAUAGAUGAGAGGAGACAAGAGCAAACAUAAAACUUUUCAAACAUGAUGGUACAAGACAUAAUUCUUUGAGGGUAUUUUAUGUCUAAUAGGCAUUUGCUCAGAAGUUCUGUUUGAUAAAGAAACUCUCUAGACUGUAUUCCACAAAGAAGACUGUGAUUCAAAUAAUAUUUCAACAGAAAUAUUUACUAGAAAAUUUUGAAAAUAAAAGUGGUUCCUCAGUUUGGUAUUUCUGAGGAAAGGAACAUGACUUAAGGGAGUAUUUAACAAAAGCUCUAAGAUUUAAUACACUUGACAGAGAAGAUCCCUUACUGCUUUCUGCUUUUAGGUGCCUAUUUUUAAUUGACUCAAUCCUCCAAAAGUUUCCAACAUCAAUGGAAAACAAAAAAAACAUGAACAAACAAAAAGACGUACCACCAUUUUAGUUAUAACUAGAAGCCAAGUAUUUCUAGCACUCAGGACUCAUUUAUUUUCUUCAGCAUAUUAUCUAUUUCCCCAAAACAUGCAAAAGCCCAAAAUACUAGAAUGAAGGCCACAAGCACAGGACUGUAGCAGUGUUCUUACCUGUGUGCUUACGAAGGUGCUCUUUAAAAUGCCCAAAAUGGUCAAACUGCUUGUCACAGUACUGGCAUACAUGUAUUUUCUUGCCAGGUCUUUGCUUCUUGCUGGCACCACCUUCAUCAAGGUGGUAACAGGUGAGGUGCUGUUUCAAAGCACUCUCUCGUAGGUAUCUUUUAUUGCAUAUGUCACAUUUGUAAUUCUCAGUAGAAUGUGUUUUCAUGUGUUCCUUAAAAUGGUAAAACAAUUUAAAUGAACGGUUACAUUUCUCACAGUGGAAUAAAUUGUUCAUGUGUGACAGCUGAAGUUCCACAAUUUCAAUACCUUCUACCUGUUUGCACGAGGGGUCAGUUGUACUAUCACCUUCUUCUUGCAUCUGGCAUUUUCUCUCUCCCUGACGAUACUUGCUGGUGAUAUCUGCCAAAAGAGCCAAAGCAGAUUCAUCUGAUGUACCUGUUGUCUGUAUGUACUUUAUGGAUUGCUCUGCAGAAGCUACUUCUUCAAGGGUUUCAAUGC
This is a long non-coding RNA of Passer domesticus (house sparrow), 4253 nucleotides long. RefSeq lists it as uncharacterized. The transcript is spliced from 2 exons. The record is from RefSeq and is a predicted model, not a curated record. Lineage: Eukaryota; Metazoa; Chordata; Aves; Passeriformes; Passeridae.